Molecule: ribosomal RNA, 1335 nt
Filed under: Parnassius szechenyii
Lineage: Eukaryota; Metazoa; Arthropoda; Insecta; Lepidoptera; Papilionidae
Description: 16S ribosomal RNA
Rfam family: Eukaryotic large subunit ribosomal RNA (bases 1128-1236)
Source: RNAcentral
GGGGGAUAAAUUAAUAAAAUAUAAAUAAUAAAAGAAUUUUUAAUAUUAAAUAAUUUAAUGGGGGUUAAAGUAUAUUUAAUAGAAAAAAAUGGAAAAAUUUAUAGUAAAUUAGUAUUGUAAAAGAAAUUUGAAAUAUAUUGAAAAUAAAUUUAUGUAAAAGUAAAUUUAAUUUAUUGUAUCUUGUGUAUCAGAGUUUAUUAAUAAUAUUUUUUAUUUAAAAAUUUUCUCGAAUUUAAAAGAGAUAAUUAAUUAUUAAAGUUAAUGUUGAAUAAUUAUUUUAAAUAAUUAAUUUGAAAUGAAAUGUUAAUCGUUUUUAAAUAUAUCUAGUUUUUUUAGAAAAAAAUUUAAUUUUAAAUUUUAAAAUAUAUAAUUUUAAUUAAUUAAAAUUAUAUUUUUAAAAUUAAAUAUUUUAAGGGAUAAGCUUUAAAAUAAAUUUUUAUAAUAAAUUUUUAUAAUAAUUAAAAUUUUUAAAAUUUAUAUUGUUUAUAAAUUAUAAUUUUUUAUAAAUAAUUUUAAUUAAAUUAAAAUUUAAAAUUUAUUUAAUUUUUUAUAAAAAAAUAUUUUGUAAUAAUUUAAAUUUAGGUAUAAUGAUAAAAUUAGUAUAUAAUUAAAUGAAAAUAAUUUAUUUUUUGAUAAGUUAAUAAAAGGAAUUCGGCAAAAAUUUAUAUUCACUUGUUUAUCAAAAACAUGUCUUUUUGAUUAAUAAUUUAAAGUCUAAUCUGCCCACUGAUAUAAUAUUAAAGGGCUGCAGUAUUUUGACUGUACAAAGGUAGCAUAAUCAUUAGUCUCUUAAUUGGUGACUUGUAUGAAAGAUUUGAUGAGAUAUAUACUGUCUCUUUUUAAUUUGUAAAAUUUAAUUUUUUAGUUAAAAAGCUAAAAUAUAUUUAAAAGACGAGAAGACCCUAUAGAGUUUUAUAUUUAAUUAAAUUAAAAUUUUUUGUAAGAUUUAAAAUUUUAAUAUAUUUAAAUAUUAUGUUGGGGUGACAAAAAAAUUUAAAUAACUUUUUUUAUAAAUUAACAUUUAUUAAUGAAUAUAUGAUCCGUAACUUACGAUUAUAAGAAAAAAUUACCUUAGGGAUAACAGCGUAAUUUUUUUUUUUAGUUCAAAUAAGAAUUAAAGUUUGCGACCUCGAUGUUGGAUUAAGAUAAAAUUUAAAUGUAAAAGUUUAAAAUUUUUGAUCUGUUCGAUCAUUAAAAUCUUACAUGAUCUGAGUUCAAACCGGUGUAAGCCAGGUUGGUUUCUAUCUUUAAAUUUAUAAAAUAUUUUAGUACGAAAGGAUCAAAUAUUUAAAAUAAUUUUAUAUAAUAAGAAUUUUAAUAAUAGUAAGUAAAUAU